This 223-nucleotide ribosomal RNA is filed under the name uncultured bacterium. RNAcentral describes it as "partial 16S ribosomal RNA". It matches the Rfam family "Bacterial small subunit ribosomal RNA", at positions 109 to 334 of the family's 1533-position model. The record is from RNAcentral.
AGUAAUGCUUGGGAAUCUAGCUUAUGGAGGGGGAUAACUACGGGAAACUGUAGCUAAUACCGCGUAGAAUCGAGAGAUGAAAGUGUGGGGACCUUCGGGCCACAUGCCAUAGGAUGAGCCCAAGUGGGAUUAGGUAGUUGGUGAGGUAAAGGCUCACCAAGCCGACGAUCUCUAGCUGGUCUGAGAGGAUGACCAGCCACACUGGGACUGAGACACGGCCCAG